GAUGAAGAACGCAGCGAAAUGCGAUAAUUAAUGUGAAUUGCAGAAUUCAGUGAAUCAUCGAGUCUUUGAACGCACAUUGCGCCCCCUGGUAUUCCGGGGGGCAUGCCUGUCCGAGCGUCAUUGCUGCCCUCAAGCCCGGCUUGUGUGUUGGGCCCUGCUCCCCCGGGGGCAGGCCCGAAAGGCAGUGGCGGCACCGCGUCCGAUCCUCGAGCGUAUGGGGCUUUGUCACCCGCUCUGUAGGCCCGGCCGGCGCUUGCCGACCCCCAUCAAUCUUUUUUCAGGUUGACCUCGGAUCAGGUAGGGAUACCCGCUGAACUUAAGCAUAUCAAUAAGCGGAGGA
Molecule: unclassified non-coding RNA, 340 nt
Filed under: soil metagenome
Description: partial contains 5.8S ribosomal RNA, internal transcribed spacer 2, and large subunit ribosomal RNA
Rfam family: 5.8S ribosomal RNA (bases 1-120)
Source: RNAcentral